AUGGCCAGUACAAACAGGUUGGGUGACAUAUGGUCACCUUGUCUAAUACCCCGUUUGGCUUUGAAAGGUUUUGUGAGUCCACCAUUAAGCAUAAGUGAAUAAGAGACAGUUGUGACACACUCCAUUACCCAUUGCACAAAGAUAGCAGGGAAUCCCAGGUCAACUAGUACUUGCUUAAGAUACCUCCAGUACAGUGUGGCAUAUGCUUUCGUCAGAUUCACC
Molecule: long non-coding RNA, 222 nt
Filed under: Nicotiana benthamiana
Lineage: Eukaryota; Viridiplantae; Streptophyta; Magnoliopsida; Solanales; Solanaceae
Description: long non-coding RNA (NBEN_LNC010817)
Source: RNAcentral